UGGCCGGCGGCAGGACCGUGGUCGCGGUCAACCUUCGCAGUCUUCCUCUCGCGGCGGCGGCGGUAGAGCAAGAGGCCGUGGAUCAGCUGGUUCUACUGCAACUUAUAACCCCCCUCCUCCUCAGAUGGCUCCGGCUCAGCCACCUCCUCAAAUGGCUUUAGCUCCGCCAGUUCCUCCAUCGGGGGCCCCUUUUUCUCAUCCUUCUUCAAGUUCUGGUGUAGGAUCACUUUCCAGAGAGGUAUCGGAGAAGCUUACAAUGGAGCCGGUGGCUGUGACUACGGCGCCUCCUCUUCCUCCGUCGUCGUCAAAGGCGAUUAGGUUCCCUCCAAGACCGGGGUUCGGCACGGUCGGUACAAAGUGUGUGGUUAGGGCCAACCAUUUUCUCGUAGAUGUUGCUAAUGCCGAUCUUCAUCACUACGAUGUAACUUUCUUUCUCGCAUGUCUCCCUAUUUGAUUUGAAGCCUGUAUUUUUUCUCGACAUUUUUGGCUUGUUGUUCUAAUCGGUUUUUUUUCUAUAUUUGUUUUUUUUCUCUUUCUUUUUUGCUUGUAUAUGUCUGCUUCCUUCCUUUCGACCUAUCUAUGGAUUUAAGUUUUCAGUAAUUACUUUGAAAAACCGAGGGAAACCUUAACUGUUAAUGGCUUGCUUAAACGAAUUCCACUUGUUUAGAUCAUAUUUUUUGAAUUCUAAUGUUUUCAUGUUUCUGUUCGCUUAUUCAUUUACCUUGUUCAUCCCUGAUACUUGCAUUUUCUUCUCCAAUAUUUUAAUCGCUAGUUUUCCUUGUCAUUUUUCUGCCUUGUUUUAAUCGUUUUAUAUUUUGGUACUUCUUAGAGCUCUGUUUUUUAUCCGACUUUACUAUACACUGAAGGUUUUAGUAGUUACUUUUCCUUAAAAAAACCCAAGGGUAAGUUUGACUGUUAAUGAUUUGCUUGACUGAGUUGGGCUUUUUGUUAUUUAUUGUCUCGUUAAAUUUUAUCUUCAUUGGAUUUUAAUGUAUAUUUUCCUCAUCUGUUUUCUUAUUUAUUUACUUGUCUCUUUGUCCAUCUCUGUUACUUGCAUCUUCUUCUCGUCUCUUUUGAUGGCCUUUGGUGCUUCAUUGCUUAUAGGUUACUAUAACGCCCGAGGUAACCGCAAAAAAAGUUAACAGAGCAAUAAUGAAGCAACUUAUUGAUGUAUACAAAGAGUCGCAUCUUGGACGUCGGUGUCCAGCUUAUGAUGGCAGGAAGAGUUUGUACACUGCUGGUCCUCUUCCCUUCGAGUCAAAGGAGCUUGUUAUCAAGCUACCUGAGGAAGAUCGCAGUGCUGGUUCGUCUAGGCCUGCGCGGUAAUAUUAUUGUAUCCUAUGAUGGUCUCUUGACAUUUUACAUUUUAUCCGAUGUCAUUAUUGCUUACCUGUGAUCUUUCUGGUUGCCUGUCACUGCAGGAAGGAGCGACAAUUUAAGGUUGCAAUCAAACUGGCCUCCAAGCCAGACCUUCAUUAUCUCAGGGAGUUUCUGAGCAGAAAGCAUUUUGAAUGCCCUCAAGAAGCUAUUCAAGUUCUGGAUGUUGUUCUUAGAGCUAAACCAUCUCAGACGUAACUGCCUGUUGAUUACUGUUAAACAUUGCUUGCUGUUAAAUUGCUGAAACCAUUUUAUAUGACAUCAAAUUAAUACAUUUGAAACAUCAUUUGGCAGAUAUACUGAGGUGGGAAGGUCUUUUUUCCAUACAUCAUUAGGUCCUAGAGGAGAACUUGGUAAUGGAAUAGAAUACUGGUCUGGAUAUUAUCAGAGUCUUCGACCCACUCAGAUGGGUUUAUCUCUUAAUAUUGGUAGGUACUUUGAUUGCUCAGUUUGUGUAGCCACUUUGUUCCUAAUGUUUCAGUAUGAAGAUAUACUGGUUUUGCUUUGCAGAUGUGUCUGCUCGAUCAUUCUAUGAGCCAAUUUUAGUUUCAGAGUUUGUUGUGAAACAUUUCCGACGAUCAAACCUGUCAAAGCCGCUGUCUGAUCAAGAUCGUAUUAAAGUAUGUAUAUAUUGAAUUCAGUGUUUAUUAAUCAAAACUUGCAGAAUAUUUUUGGAAUGCUUCUUUUGCUGUAUUCUUUAGGUGAAAAAGGCCUUGAAGGGUGUAAGAGUUAAGCUCAUCUACAUGGAUUAUGCCAAAACUUGCAAGAUUACUGGAGUAUCUAGAGACCCUAUAAGCCAGUUGACGUGAGUUUGUUGUUAUAAUACUAUACGUGCUCAUAAAUAUUUUUAGUAAGCUACUUUUAUGUGGCCUGUGUGGUAGAAUUGUUUUUGGGUUAUUUGUAGUCUUGUAUUCACUACUUAUCUAAGUUCCAUCUUCAAAUUGAGUUGGUUUUAUUUUUUUUUUUUGUGGUUGACAGUUUUUAGUAUUUGGCUUGGUUAUGUAUUGUUCUAAAAUAUUGUUUAUGCUUGUACAUUUGUAAAAUCUUGUGCUUAUGGUAUAUUUGUCCCAUUCUGUCUCAUUAUGUUUCUGUUCAAUUUUUGGCUUUUUUAGAUUUACUCUUGAUGAUAAGAGAACAAAUGUCUCUGUGGUCAAGUAUUUCCGUGAGAAAUACAAUGUUGUGCUUAAAUAUCCAUCCUUGCCUGCACUUCAAAGUGGAAGCGAAGCUAGACCUGUCUACCUGCCAAUGGAGGUUUUUACUUUAUAUCAAGAUGAUCUUGUUUUUGUUUUCUUUUUGUUUGUUACUGAUUCUCUUGUAUGAUUUUGUUUUACAGCUUUGUAGUAUCGUUGAGGGUCAAAGAUACACAAAAAAACUAAAUGAACAACAAGUUAGAUCUCUGCUGAGAGCAACUUGUCAACGUCCGAACAUUAGGGAGGGGAAUAUUACAAAGGUACUACAGUUUUGGAUGCUUAUUAUUUUUUAAAUUUGUUGAUAAGAUGAGAAUUGUGAUUCAUUUGGCAUUUCAUGUUUCUGCAGAUGGUCCAGGUCAAUAAUUUUGAGGUGGAGGAGCUUGUUACUAAAGAAUUUGGAAUGCAUGUUCGCAAAGAACUUGCAUUGAUUAAUGCACGAGUUCUAAAUCCUCCAGUGGUACUUAUAUGCCAAUAUGUUAUAUUUUCAAGGAUAUUGUCCGUCUUAUAAUAAGAUUAAUGUCGGUUUUGGUUGCUGCAGCUAAAGUAUCACGAUAGUGGACGUGACAAAAUUGUUAAUCCUAGCUGUGGGCAAUGGAACAUGAUCAACAAGGUGAUUUUUUUUUCUUCCCCUCUUAUUCUUUGAAGUGGCAUUAUUUGUAAAAUUUAAGGAAUCAGACCUGUCUCUUCAGUCUCCUUGUUCCAGCGUUCUUGUUCAUUUUUUUUCAAUUCAUUUUUAAGGUUUGCAGCGUCUCUUCUCUGCAGUUUAGUGUAGCUGCAAGUCUUUUGGGAAAAUUUUGCUAGGUUUUAAGGUUCAACAUUUUUUUUUGCAGAAAAUGGUCAAUGGGGGUAAAGUUGAUUUCUGGUCUUGUGUGAACUUCUCCUCUGAAUAUUGGAAUAUGUCAGAAGACUUCUGUGCGGGGCUGGUGAAUAUGUGUAACAGCAAAGGAAUGGUAUGCUGUGUGGUUUUUUUAGUGUAGGUGGAUGGUACAUCUGUUAUUUAUUCAUCACUAGCUUGAUUUCCGAUUUUGUUACUCUAGGUGUUUCGCCAAACUCCUUCAAUUGCAAUGCGAUCAGCUCGUGCUGAUCGAAUUGAUCAGACUCUCAUGGAUGUAUACAAAGAGUCUGCAGGCUUGAAUAAGCCACUUCAGUUGUUGAUAAUUAUCUUACCUGAUCAGACUGGCUCUUAUGGUAAGAAAUUCUGAUGUUUUGUAAAUAGGUAAUUCCUGGGUUGUCUUUGCGCGACUCAAAUCUUUUUGUUUGCAGGAAAAAUAAAGCGAAUUUGUGAGACGGAGCUAGGUAUUGUUUCACAAUGUUGUAAGCCUGUGCAAGCUUCAAAGUUCAGCAACCAAUAUUUUGAAAAUGUUGCUCUCAAGAUCAAUGCUAAGGUAUCUGUUUUGCCUCACUGGUGGUGAUUUGAUAUAGUGGUUUCUUGUCUUGCUAUCUUCUUUUAAAUCAUUUGAGAAUUGUAAAUUCUGUAGGUUGGGGGGAGAAAUACUGUGCUGAACGAUGCUGUUUUAAGGAGAAUUCCGCUUGUGACUGAUGUCCCUACAAUCAUUUUUGGGGCAGAUGUCACUCAUCCGCCGCCUGGCGAAGACUCUAGUUCUUCUAUAGCUGCAGUAAGCAUAUUCAUUAUUCUCUAUCAUCCCCAUUUUGUUACUUGAUCAUAUUUAAGAGGUUAUUGGCUGGCUGCAGGUCGUUGCUUCAAUGGAUUGGCCUGAGGUAACCAAGUAUCGUGGAAUUGUCUCUGCACAGACUCACCGGGUGGAAAUAAUCGAGGAUCUUUAUAAACAAACUAGGGAUCCACAGAAGGGUUUAGUUGAGGGUGGAAUGGUUAGGUAGGGAGAGAUUUAUUCCAGGCUUAAAUUUUUAGUUUCUUCUGGAAGUGCUCUACUUUCUUAACAUUUCAAGUUCUCUGCAGGGAAUUGCUUCUUGCUUUCUACAGGUCAACGAAACAAAAGCCUUCUAGAAUUAUCUUCUAUAGGUAAUGUUUGCUUUUGACCAUCCGAAUCUAUGUAUAUAUUUCUAGCAGCAGUGCUGAUAUCUGAUUUUUGAUGUGUGGCAGAGAUGGUGUUAGUGAAGGACAAUUCAGCCAAGUUUUGCUUUAUGAAAUGGAUGCGAUUCGGAAGGUAUUGAAAUUACUGUAUAAUGUCUAUUAUAGUUGGUUCACUGUAUAAUGGAUGCAAUGUUUUUUGGUGUUUGGGCCUUCUGACCCCUGCAGUUUUCUUACUUCCAGGCUUGUUCCUCGCUACAGGAAGGAUAUAUGCCUCGGGUUACAUUUGUUGUGGUUCAAAAGAGGCAUCAUACUCGCUUAUUCCCUACUGAUCGCAACAAAACUGAUAGGAGUGGCAACAUAUUACCAGGUGAUUCUAAUCUUAUAAUAGGGAUUUGAUCGUAUUCUCUUGAUCUUCAUUUUGUUAGCAUAUUUUAAUGUAGCCAAUAACUUUUAGGUACUGUUGUGGAUACUAGCAUCUGUCAUCCAACUGAGUUUGAUUUUUAUCUCAAUAGUCAUGCUGGAAUCCAGGUAAAAUGAGGCCUUCCCUUGAAGUGUGAUGGUUUUUAUGUUAAUUUUGUCCGAUCUGAUAUUGAUAUUGAUGUUUUUGUGUAGGGGACAAGCAAGCCCACACAUUACCACGUUUUGUUGGAUGAAAAUGGCUUCACUGCUGACAUCUUGCAAGUGCUCACAAACAAUUUAUGUUACACGUAUGUGUUUGCUCCUUUCUCUAUAAUGUUGAAAUGGGGUGAAUAAAUAAUGCUUUAGAUCAGCACUAGCAAUUAUAUAGUAAUAAUUUUACUUUGUGGAUAGGUAUGCGAGGUGUACCAAGUCCGUUUCCAUAGGUUUGUGAUGAUGUUUUUUUGUCUUGUUAAAUUUGUUGACUAAGGUUGGUUUUGACAGUGAAUAUUUGGAUUAUAUGUUUGCAGUUCCUCCGGCAUACUAUGCUCACCUCGCUGCUUAUAGGGCACGUUGUUAUAUUGAGGAUGAGAUGUCGGAUAGUGGGUCUACUGGUGGAGGCCGAAAGCCGAAAGACAAGGUUGUAGAGGUUAGGCCGCUGCCCAGCAUAAAGGAUAAUGUGAAGGAAGUGAUGUUCUACGUCUGAUUAAUUAUGUUUGGUUGAUUGUGGGAAGUUGCGCAAGUAUAGUUGCACAGUUUGUGGAUGAUGGUGGAGUCUUAUUGAUUCCAUUGGUGGACUUAGUAAUCAUCUAAUUUUGGAGUUUUUGUUUUGGUGGUUGAGCUACUUGUUGUGUGAAGUUUGAAUUAUUAUAAAUCACACACUGUUUGUGGAUUACGAAAAUUUCAUAAAUGUCCUUUAUUUUUAAGACACAUUCUUAGAAAGGAGUUUUGGUAUCAUUCUUAAGCUUCUUUUAUAUCACCAAUUAAUACAAGAGAUGAUGAAAUUUUAGAGAAUAAUGUCUUUUUAUAAAGAGUUUUUAAAUGUUCAGAACACAAAUUGUAAGAUAUGCUCGGAUAUCCUCACUGCAUCUCCUUGCAACUCCAAUGAAUAAAAAAGCAAUCCUAAUCAAUUUUCUUUUUAAUUUACCAUUUUAAUAAACAUAGUAAAUACAAUUUUAUUAACUUAUUAAUUAAUUUUAUAAAUUUACAUAUUUUUAAUUCAUAAAAGUGUGAUAAUUUUAAAAACUUUUAUUAUAUAUAAUUUUUAAUCUAAUGUUUUCAAUAGUUAUAUUUUAUUAUUAUCUCACCGUUACAAUUACGUUUGAAAUUAAAUAUACAUCUCACCACUGUUUCUAUUCUCAUUGCUAUUGCUGUUUUUAACUUUACCGAAGAUAAAUGUAUCGUCCAUCCCAAUUAAACCUUAGUCCAUUUAUAGUGUUUUUUUUACUUCGUUAAAGCUGGACAAACUAUGCCAUUAAAAUUUUAAUAGCUUAAGUUUAGAUUGAAUGAGCGAUGCGUUUACUUUCGGUGAGAUUAAAAACAACAAUGGUAGUUAGAUUAGUUACUGUAGCGAUGAAAUUAGAUACUGUAGUAGUGAUAUUAGAAAUAGCGGUACGGUGUGUGUUUAGAUUCAAACGCAACUAUAAUAAUGAGUUGAGAAUAAAAAAUGACUAUUAAAGACAUUAGAUUUAUGAGUUCUCUCUCAUUUCAUCUUUUUUUCCCCUCAAAUUCUGUUAUGAAUAAAAAAUCUUCUUUAAAUAUCAAAGGAAAAGCUCUCAUUUAAUCCUCUCAUCUGAUUGUAUGAAAACGGUUUUGUUCAUUCAUCAGCUAUUCUGCUCUAUCAUUGCUUUUAUCUGUUUCAUUUUUUUCCAAUCUAAAACUAAAAAACAAACACCAUCUUUUCCAUUCAUGAUGACACAGAAGGUGAAGAAAAUUAUAAAUUUUGAUUCAUCAAUGGGUAUGGGUGGUUAACCAAAAUAGAGAAGAUAAAAAAGAAAAAGUAAUGUUGAAAAUAAAAGUCAUUUUCCUUUUUUUAAAAAUAUGGAUGAUUGAUAAUUUUAAAAAUAAUUUUCAAAAAAAUAAUUUUCAUUAUUUUCACCAAAAUGUUUUGUAGAAUUAAAAAAGACGAGAACAAGAGUUUUUUAAUUUUAAAUGAACGAGUUCACAAUGGGUUCAAAUCCAUAUAAACACAAAAAAAUAUUUAUUUUUCAAUAGUUUUUUUUUCUAAUAUUGAAUUCGGUACCCUGAUUUGAAUCCAUAUAAAUACGAAAUUUAUUUUAUUUUAUUAAAACAUGUUUUUAUUUCUAUUUAUCAAAUUUAAAAAAAUAGAAAAUGAAAAUCAUGUUUCUAUUUACCAAAUAUUUCACAAAUUAAACUGACUUUAAUUGUUUAGAAAAAAGAAAAAAAAUUCUAUUAUUUUCUAGUGAAGUAGAAAUUAGGAAAGGGAAGGGAUGCUUGCUAUGGAAAUUGUGGAUGGAAAAAAGGAAGUUGUCAAUAAAGAAAAAAAAAAAAAUUUUGGUAUUUUUUUAUGUCUGUUUUAUUGUUUAUGUUUGGGGUUCGUGGUAGUUCUUCUCAACAAGGUCAUCUUCAAUGUUUAAAUCUAUGUCUCAAAUUAAGAAUACAAUGUGCCUUACCAUUACACCCAACACUUGUUGGUAAAAAAAAAAGUGUAAAAUUUAUAUGAUAUUUUAAAAACAUAUAGAUAAUUUAAUGGUAAAAUUAUAAUUUUAUUUUUUUGAAGGAUAAUGCUAAUAUUGUAAUUAUAUUUAUUAUUGUAAUUUUACAUAAAAAUUAAACUAAUUAACUUGUAACAUCAACUAAGUUAAAUAUUUCUUUAAGUAUUAAAUUGUGUUACAAACAUGAUGUCAAUGUAAAAAAUAUAUUAAUAAAUAGGUGAAAUGAGGUUUUGGUUGAAAUGAUUAAUUUGAACCUGAUUUCUUAAGUUUAACUAACUCAACGACAUUAUUUUUUGAAAGAACUCGAUCAAGAUUGCUUUUUCCGUAGUUACUUUUCCUUAAAAAAACCCAAGGGAAAGUUUAACUGUUAAUGAUUUGGUUGACUGAGUUGGGCUUUUUGUUAUUUAUUGUCUCGUUAAAUUUUAUUUUCAUUGGAUUUUAAUGUGUAUUUUCCUUUUCUGUUUUCUUAUUUAUUUACUUGUCUCUUUGUCCAUCUCUGUUACUUUCAUCUUUUUCUCGUCUCUUUUGAUGGCCUUUGGUGCUUCAUUGCUUAUAGGUUACUAUAACGCCUGAGGUAACCGCAAAAAAGGUUAACAGAGCAAUAAUGAAGCAACUUAUUGAUGUAUACAAAGAGUCGCAUCUUGGACGUCGGUGUCCAGCUUAUGAUGGCAGGAAGAGUUUGUACACUGCUGGUCCUCUUCCCUUCGAGUCAGGAGCUUGUUAUCAAGCUACCUGAGGAAGAUCGCAGUGCUGGUUCGUCUAGGCCUGCGCUGUAAUAUUAUUGUAUCCUAUGAUGGUCUCUUGACAUUUUACAUUAUAUCCGAUGUCAUAAUUGCUUACCUGUGAUCUUUCUGGUUGCCUGUCACUGCAGGAAGGAGCGACAAUUUAAGGUUGCAAUCAAACUGGCCUCCAAGCCAGACCUUCAUUAUCUCAGGGAGUUUUUGAGCAGAAAGCAUUUUGAAUGUCCUCAAGAAGCUAUUCAAGUUCUGGAUGUUGUUCUUAGAGCUAAACCAUCUCAGAUGUAACUGCCUGUUGAUUAAUGUUAAACAUUGCUGGCUAUUAAAUUGUUGAAACCAUUUUAUAUGACAUCAAAUUAAUACAUUUGAAACAUCAUUUGGCAGAUAUACUGAGGUGGGAAGGUCUUUUUUCCAUACAUCAUUAGGUCCUAGAGGAGAACUUGGUAAUGGAAUAGAAUACUGGUCUGGAUAUUAUCAGAGUCUUCGACCCACUCAGAUGGGUUUAUCUCUUAAUAUUGGUAGGUACUUUGAUUGCUCAGUUUGUGUAGCCACUUUGUUCCUAAUGUUUCAGUAUGAAGAUUUACUGGUUUUGCUUUGCAGAUGUGUCUGCUCGAUCAUUCUAUGAGCCAAUUUUAGUUUCAGAGUUUGUUGUGAAACAUUUCCGACGAUCAAACCUGUCAAAGCCGCUGUCUGAUCAAGAUCGUAUUAAAGUAUGUAUAUAUUGAAUUCAGUGUUUAUUAAUCAAAACUUGCAGAAUAUUUUUGGAAUGCUUCUUUUGCCGUUUUUGUUAGCUGAAAAAGGCCUUGAAGGGAGUAAGAGUUAGGCUCAUCUACAUGGAUUAUGCCAAAACUUGCAAGAUUAUUGGAGUAUCUAGAGACCCUAUAAGCCAGUUGACGUGAGUUUCUUGUUAUAAUACUAUACCUGCUCAUAAAUAUUUUUAGUAAGCUACUUUUAUGUGGCCUGUGUGGUAGAAUUGUUUUUGGGUUAUUUGUAGUCUUGUAUUCACUCCUUAUCUAAGUUACAUCUUAAAAUUGAGUUGGUUUUAUUUUUAUUUUUUGCAGUUGACAGUUUUUAGUAUUUGGCUUGGUUAUGUCUUGUUCUAAAAUAUUGUUUAUGCUUAUACAUUUGUAAAAUCUUGUGCUUAUGGUACAUUUGUACCAUUCUGUCUCAUUAUGUUUCUGUUCAAUUUUUGGCUGUUUUAGAUUUCCUCUUGAUGAUAAGAGAACAAAUGUCUCUGUGGUCAAGUAUUUCCGUGAGAAAUACAAUGUUGUGCUUAAAUAUCCAUCCUUGCCUGCACUUCAAAGUGGAACUGAAGCUAGACCUGUCUACCUGCCAAUGGAGGUUUUUACUUUAUAUCAAGAUGAUCUUGUUUUUGUUUUCUUUUUGUUUGUUACUGAUUCUCCUGUAUGAUUUUGUUUUACAGCUUUAUAGUAUCGUUGAGGGUCAAAGAUACACAAAAAAAACUAAAUGAACAACAAGUUAGAUCUCUGCUGAGAGCAACUUGUCAACGUCCGAACAUUAGGGAGGGGAAUAUUACAAAGGUACUGCAGUUUUGGAUGCUUAUUAUUUUUUAAAUUGGUUGAUAAGAUGAGAAUUUUGAUUCAUUGGCAUUUCAUAUUUCUGCAGAUGGUCCAGGUCAAUAAUUUUGAGUUGGAGGAGCUUGUUACUAAAGAAUUUGGAAUGCAUGUUCGCAAAGAACUUGCAUUGAUUAAUGCACGAGUUCUAAAUCCUCCAGUGGUACUUUUCAGCCAAUAUGUUAUAUUUUCAAGGAUACUGUCAGUCUUAUAAUACGAUUAAUGUCUGUUUUGGUUGCUGCAGCUAAAGUAUCACGAUAGUGGACGUGACAAAAUCGUUAAUCCUAGUUGCGGGCAAUGGAACAUGAUCAACAAGGUGGUAUUUUUUUUUCUUCCCCUCUUAUUCUUUGAAGUGGCAUUGUUUGUAAAAUUUAAGGAAUCAGACCUGUCUCUUCAGUCUCCUCUUGUUCCAGAGUUCUUGUUCAUUUUUUCAAUUCAUUUUUAAGGUAGCUAUAAGUCUUUUGGGAAAAUUUUGAUAGGUUUUAAGGUUCAACAGUUUUUUUUUUUGCAGAAAAUGGUCAAUGGGGGUAAAGUCGAUUUCUGGUCUUGUGUGAACUUCUCCUCGGAAUAUUGGAAUAUGUCAGAAGAGUUCUGUGCGGAGCUGGUGAAUAUGUGUAACAACAAAGCAAUGGUAUGCUGUGUGGUUUUUUUUAGUGUAGGUGGAUGGUAUAUCUGUUAUUUAUUUAUCACUAGCAUGAUUUCCCAUUUUGAGAUUCUAGGUGUUUUGCCAAACUCCUUCAAUUGCAAUGCGAUCAGCUCGUGCUGACCGAAUUGAUCAGAUUCUCAUGGAUGUAUACAAAGAGUCUGCAGGCUUGAAAAAGCCACUUCAGUUGUUGAUAAUUAUCUUACCUGAUCAGACUGGCUCUUAGGGUAAGAAAUUCUGAUGUUUUGUAAAUAGGUAAUUCCUGGGGUUUCUUUGCGCGACUCAAAUCUUUUUGCUUGCAGGAAAAAUAAAGCGAAUUUGUGAGACGGAGCUAGGUAUUGUUUCACAAUGUUGUAAGCCUGUGCAAGCUGCAAAGUUUAGCAACCAAUAUUUUGAAAAUGUUGCUCUCAAGAUCAAUGCUAAGGUAUGUGUUUUGCCUCACUGGUGGUGAUUUGAUAUAGUGUUUUCUUGUCUUGUUAUCUUAAUUCAUUUGAGAAUUGUAAAUUCUGUAGGUUGGGGGGCGAAAUACUCUGCUGAACGAUGCUAUUUUAAGGAGAAUUCCGCUUGUGACUGAUGUCCCUACAAUCAUUUUUGGGGCAGAUGUCACUCAUCCGCCGCCUGGCGAAGACUAUUCUAUAGCUGCAGUAAGCAUAUUCAUUGUUCUCUACAUCCCCAUUUUGUUACUUGAUCAUAUUUAAGAGGUUAUUGGCUGGAUGCAGGUCGUUGCUUCAAUGGAUUGGCCUGAGGUAACCAAGUAUCGUGGAAUUGUCUCUGCACAGACUCGCCGGAUGGAAAUAAUCCAGGAUCUUUAUAAACAAACAAAGGAUCCACAGAAGGGUUUAGUUGAGGGUGGAAUGGUUAGGUAGGGAGAUAGAUUUAUUUCGGGCUUAAUUUUUUAGUUUCUUCUGGACGUGCUCUACUUUCUUAACAUUUCAAGUUCUCUGCAGGGAAUUGCUUGUUGCUUUCUUCAAGUCGACAAGACAAAAGCCUUCUAGAAUUAUCUUCUAUAGGUAAUGUUUGCUUUUGACCAUCCAAAUAUAUGUAUAUAUUUCUAGCAGCAGUGCUGAUAUCUGAUUUUUGAUGUGGCAGAGGUGGUGUUAGUGAAGGACAAUUCAGCCAAGUUUUGCUUUAUGAAAUGGAUGCGAUUCGGAAGGUAUUGAAAUCACUGUAUAAUGUCUAUUAUAGUUGGUUCACUGUAUAAUGGAUGCUUCUGACCCCUGCAGUUUUCUUCCUUCCAGGCUUGUUCCUCGCUACAGGAAGGAUAUAUGCCUCGGGUUACAUUUGUUGUGGUUCAAAAGAGGCAUCAUACUCGCUUAUUCCCUACUGAUCGCAACAAAACUGAUAGGAGUGGCAACAUAUUACCAGGUGAUUCUAAUCUUAUAAUAGGGAUUUGAUCGUAUUCUCUUGAUCUUCAUUUUGUUAGCAUAUUUUAAUGUAGCCAAUAAAUUUUAGGUACUGUUGUGGAUACUAGCAUCUGUCAUCCAACUGAGUUUGAUUUUUAUCUCAAUAGUCAUGCUGGAAUCCAGGUUAAAUGAGGCUUCCCUUGAAGUGUGAUGGUUUUUAUGUUAAAUUUGUCCGAUCUGAUACUGAUGUUGUUGUGUAGGGGACAAGCAAGGCCACACGUUACCACGGUUUGUUUGAUGAAAAUGGCUUCAGUGCUGACAUCUUGCAAGUGCUCACAAACAGUUUAUGUUACACGUAUGUGUUUACUCCUUUCUCUAAAAUCCUGAAAUGGGGUGAAUAAAUAAUGCUUUAGAUCAGCACUAGUAAUUAUAUAGUAAUAAUUUUACUUUGUGGAUAGGUAUGCGAGGUGUACCAAGUCCGUUUCCAUAGGUUUGUGAUGAUGUUUUUUUGUCUUGUUAAAUUUGUUAACUUAAGGUUGGUUUUGACGGUGAAUAUUUGAAUUAUAUGUUUGCAGUGCCUCCGGCAUACUAUGCUCACCUCGCUGCUUAUAGGGCACGCUAUUAUAUUGAGGAUGAGAUGUCGGAUAGUGGGUCUACUGGUGGAGGCCGAAAGCCGAAAGACAAGGUUGUAGAGUUUAGGGCGCUCCCCAGCAUAAAGGAUAAUGUGAAGGAAGUAAUGUUCUAUGUCUGAUAAAUUAUGUUUGGUUGGUGGAAAGUUGCGCAAGUAUAGUUGCACAGUUUGUGGAUGAUGGUGGAGUCUUGUUGAUUCCAUUGGUGGACUUUGUAAUUAUUUAAUUUUGGAGUUUCUGUUUUGGUGGUUGAGCGAAUUGUCGUCUGAAGUUUGGAUUACUAUAAUGCACACACUAUUUGUGGAUUACGAAAAUUUCAGAAAUGUCCUGUAUUUUCAAGACAAGUUCUUAGAAAGGAUUUUUAGUAUCAUUUUUAAGCUUCUUUUAGAUCACUGAUUAAUACAAGUGAUGAUGAAAUUUUAAAGAAUAAUGUCUUUUUACUAGAGUUUUUACAUGUUCAGAACACAAAUGAUAAGGUACGUUCGGAAAUCCUCCCUGCACCUCCCUGCAACUCCAAUUUUCUACCGGAGUUUAAGCUCCAAUGAAAAUAAAAGCAACCCUAAUUAAAUUUGUUUUUUUUUUAUUUAAAAUUUUAAUAAAUAUAAUAAAUACAAUUUUAAUAUUUUAUUAAAUAUUUUUAUAAAUUUACAUAUUUUUAAUAAUUUCAUAAAAGUUAGAAACUUUUAUUAUAUAUAAUUUUUAAUCUAAUGCUUUCAAUAGUUAUAUUCCAUUAUCACCUCACCGUUACAACUACGUUUGAAAUCAAAUACACGCUUCAUCAUUGUUUUUAUUCUCAAUGCUAUUGUUGUUUUUAAUCUUACCGAAGAUAAAUGCAUUAUCCAUUCCAAUUAAAUCUCAGUCCACUUAUAGUGUUUUUUACUUUGUUAAAGGAGGACAAACCAUGCAAAGUUUUAAUAGUUUAAGCUUAGUUUAGAUGAGCGGUGCGUUUACUUUCAGUGAGAUUAAAAACAACAAUGAUAGUGAGAUUAGUUACUAUGGCGAUGAAAUUAGAUAUUGUAGUAGUGAGAUUAAAAAUUGCGGUAGGGUGUGUGUUUGGAUUCAAAUGCAACUAUAACGAUGAGUUGAGAAUAGAAAAUGACUAUUAAAGACAUUAGUUUUACGAGUUCUCUCUCAUUUCAUUUUUUCCCCUCAAAUUCUGUUGAUGAAUAAAAAAUCUUCUUAAAAUGUCAAAGGAAAACCUCUCAUUUAAUCCUCUCAUCUGAUUGUAUGAAAAUAGUUUUGUUCAUUCAUCAGCUAUUCUGCUCUAUAAUUGCUUUUAUCUGUUUUAUUUUUUUUCAAUCUAAAACUAAAAAACAAGCACCAUCUUUUCCAUUCAUGAUGACACAGAAGGUAAAGAAAAUUAUAAAUUUUAAUUCAUCAAUGGGUAUGGGUGAUUAACCAAAAUAGAGAAGAUAAAAAAAAAGGUAAUGUUUAAAAUAAGUCAUUUUCCUUUUUUAGAAAAAUGGAUGAUUGAUAAUUUUAAAAAUAAUUUUCGUUAUUUUCACCACAGUGUUUUGUAGAAUUAGAAAAGACGACAGCAAGAGUUUUUUAAUUUUAAAUGAACGAAUUCACAUUGGUUCAAAUCCAUAUAAACACAAAAAAUAUUUAUUUUUCAACCAUUUUUUUCUAAUAUUGAUUUCGGUACCCUAUUCGGAUCCAUAUAAAUAUAAAAUUUAUUUUAUUUUAUUAAAAUAAAAACAUGUUUUUUAUUUCUAUUUACCAAAUAUUUCAUAAAUUAAACUGACUUCUAUUAUUUUCUGGUGAAGUAGAAAUUAGGAUAGGGAAGGGAAUGCUUGCUAUGGAAAUUGGCAUGGAAAAAAAAGAAGUUAUAGUUAAUAAAGAAAAAAAAAGAUUAUCUAUUUUGGUAUUGUUUAUAUCCGUUUUACUGUUUAUAUUUAGGGUUCGUGAUUGUUAUUCUCAACAAUGUCAUCUCUAAGAUUUAAAUCAGUCUUAAAUUAAGAAUAUAAUGUGCCUUACAAGUACAUCCAACACUUGUUGAUAAAUAAAUUAAUAAAUAGUGUAAAAUUUAUAUGAUAUUUUAAAAACAUAUAUAUAAUUCAAUGGUAAAAUUUUAAUUUUAUUUUUUGAAAGAUAAUGCUAAUAUUGUAAUUAUAUUUAUUAUUUAUUAUUGUAAAUUUACAUAAAAAAAUUAUCUAAUUAACUUGUAACAUAAGCUAAGUUAAAUGUUUUUUUAAGUAUUACAUUAUGUUACAAACAUGACGACAAUGUAAAAGAUUAUGUAAAAAAUAUAUUAAUAAAAAGGUUGAAAUGAUUAAUUUGAACCUUAUACACUAACUCAAUGAAAUUCUUUUUUGAAAGAACUCGAUCAAGAAUUUAAAUAAUAAUAUAUAUGUGUAAAUAUAAGUUGCCAUGCAAAUUUGAGUUAACUGUACUAAAUGUCUCCAUAUUAUAAUCUUCAUUUUAAAUUAGUCCCUGAACUUCAAAUCAUUCUACUUACAUCUUUAAACUAUCGAUGUUAUAUCAAUUGGGUCAAUUUGUUACUAAAAUUAUUAAUUUAACUAUUAAAUGACACACUAAAUUUUAUAAAAACAAUGAUUAUUGUAAAAAUAAAUGUUUUAAAAAUAUUAAUUUUGAUAUUUUUAAAGCUUUCACAAAAGUUUUAUCAUUCAUUCUUUUUAUUUUUUGUUCUUACUUUUUUAAAUUUUGCAAUAACAUUUUACUUUUUUUAAAAUUGAUUUUAAAUUUCACUGUAUAAAAUUUUACAAAAAGACUUAUCCUCUAUUGGUUACUUAAAAGUAAAACAAACUGACACAAAAUUCAAAAGAAAAAAAAAGGAGCGUAUAAAGUAACAAAUGCAAGAAGGCUAGUACAAAUUAACAAAGCUUCUUGGAGAAGAAUUGACUUGAAAUAAUCCAGUGUGCUUCUAGUAUAAAAUGGGCUCAUUCAUUCCUAGUCGCUCUCUAUACUCAGGUGUGUCGUUUGUUUCAUUUUUUUUCCCUUCUGUUUUGGAGUUUUUGAAAUUUUCAUCUGUUUGCUUAGUUUCCCAAAUUUCAGCCAAUGUCUGGUCGAGGCGGUGGUGGACGUGGCAGUGGUCGGGGUGGUGGUCGACGUGGCCGGGGGCAGGACCGUGGUCGCGGCCAACCUUCACAGUCUUCCUCUCGCGGCGGCGGCGGUAGAGCAAGAGGCCGUGGAUCAUCUGGUUCUACUGCAACUUAUAACCCCCCUCCUCCUCAGAUGGCCCCGGCUCAGCCGCCUCCUCAAAUGGCUGUAGCUCCGCCAGUUCCUCCAUCGGGGGCUGCUUUUUCUCAUCCUUCUUCAAGUUCUGGUGUAGGAUCACUUUCCAGAGAGGUAUCGGAGAAGCUUACAAUGGAGCCGGUGGCUGUGACUACGGCGCCUCCUCUUCCUCAGUCGUCGUCAAAGGCGAUUAGGUUCCCUCCAAGACCGGGGUUCGGCACGGUCGGUACAAAGUGUGUGGUUAGGGCCAACCAUUUUCUCGUAGAUGUUGCUAAUGCCGAUCUUCAUCACUACGAUGUAACUUUCUUUCUCGCAUGUCUCCCUAUUUGAUUUGAAGCCUGUAUUUUUUCUCGACAUUUUUGGCUUGUUGUUCUAAUCGGUUUUUUUUCUAUAUUUGUUAUUUUUCUCUUUCUUUUUUGCUUGUAUAUGUCUGCUUCCUUCCUUUCGACCUAUCUAUGGAUUUAAGUUUUCAGUAAUUACUUUGAAAAACCGAGGGAAACCUUAACUGUUAAUGGCUUGCUUAAACGAAUUCCACUUGUUUAGAUCAUAUUUUUUGAAUUCUAAUGUUUUCAUGUUUCUGUUCGCUUAUUCAUUUACCUUGUUCAUCCCUGAUACUUGCAUUUUCUUCUCCAAUAUUUUAAUCGCUAGUUUUCCUUGUCAUUUUUCUGCCUUGUUUUAAUCGUUUUAUAUUUUGGUACUUCUUAGAGCUCUGUUUUUUAUCCGACUUUACUAUACACUGAAGGUUUUAGUAGUUACUUUUCCUUAAAAAAACCCAAGGGAAAGUUUGACUGUUAAUGAUUUGCUUGACUGAGUUGGGCUUUUUGUUAUUUAUUGUCUCGUUAAAUUUUAUUUUCAUUGGAUUUUAAUGUGUAUUUUCCUUUUCUGUUUUCUUAUUUAUUUACUUGUCUCUUUGUCCAUAUCUGUUACUUGCAUCUUCUUCUCGUCUCUUUUGAUGGCCUUUGGUGCUUCAUUGCUUAUAGGUUACUAUAAAGCCCGAGGUAACCUCAAAAAAGCUUAACAGAGCCAUAAUGAAGCAACUUAUUGAUGUAUACGAAGAGUCGCAUCUUGGACGUCGGUGUCCAGCUUAUGAUGGCAGGAAGAGUUUGUACACUGCUGGUCCUCUUCCCUUCGAGUCAAAGGAGCUUGUUAUCAAGCUAACUGAGGAAGAUUGGUAAUAUUAUUGUAUCCUAUGAUGGUCUCUUGACAUUUUACAUUUUAUCCGAUGUCAUUAUUGUUUACCUGUGAUCUUUCUGGUUGCCUGUCAUUGCAGGAGGGAGCGACAAUUUAAGGUUGCAAUCAAACUGGCCUCCAAGCCAGACCUUCAUUAUCUGAGGGAGUUUUUGAGCGGAAGGCAUUUUGAAUUCCCUCAAGAAGCUAUUCAAGUUCUGGAUGUUGUUCUUAGAGCUAAACCAUCUCAGAUGUAACUGCCUGUUGAUUAAUGUUAAACAUUGUUUGCUGUUAAAUUGUUGAAACCAUUUUAUAUGACAUCAAAUUAAUACAUUUGAAACAUCAUUUGGCAGAUAUACUGAGGUGGGAAGGUCUUUUUUCCAUACAUCAUUAGGUCCUAGAGGAGAACUUGGUAAUGGAAUAGAAUACUGGUGUGGAUAUUAUCAGUGUCUUCGACCCACUCAGAUGGGUUUAUCUCUUAUUAUUGGUAGGUACUUUGAUUGCUCAGUUUGUGUAGCCACCUUGUUCCUAAUGUUUCAGUAUGAAGAUUUACUGGUUUUGCUUUGCAGAUGCGUCUGCUCGAUCAUUCUAUGAGCCAAUUUUAGUUUCAGAGAUUGUUGUGAAACAUUUCCGGCUAUCAAACCUGUCAAAGCCGCUGUCUGAUCAAGAUCGUAUUAAAGUAUGUAUAUAUUGAAUUCAGUGUUUAUUAAUCAAAACUUGCAGAAUUUUUUUGCAAUGCUUCUAUUGCCGUAUUUUUUAGGUGAAAAAGGCCUUGAUGGGAGUAAGAGUUAGGCUCAUCUGCAUGAAUUAUGCCAAAACUUGCAAGAUUAUUGGAGUAUCUAGAGACCCUAUAAGCCAGUUGACGUGAGUUUGUUGUUAUAAUACUAUACGUGCUUAUAAAUAUUUUUAGUAAUCUACUUUUAUGUGUCCUGUGUGGUAGAAUUGCUUUUGGGUUAUUUGUAGUCUUGUAUUCACUACUUAUCUGAGUUCCAUCUUCAAAUUGAGUUGGUUUUAUUUUAUUUUUUGCAGUUGACGGUUUUUAGUAUUUGGCUUGGUUAUGUCUUGUUCUAAAAUAUUUUUUAUGCUUGUACAUUUGUAAAAUCUUGUGCUUUUGGUAUAUUUGUCCCAUUCUGUCUCAUUAUGUUUCUGUUCAAUUUUUGGCUUUUUUAGAUUUACUCUUGAUGAUAAGAGAACAAAUGUCUCCGUGGUCAAGUAUUUCCGUGAUAAAUACAAUGUUGUGCUUAAAUAUCCAUCUUUGCCUGCACUUCAAAGGGGAAGUGAAGCUAGACCUGUCUACCUGCCAAUGGAGGUUUUUACUUUAUAUCAAGAUUAUCUUGUUUUUGUUUUUUUUUUUUUUGUUACUGAUUCUCCUGUAUGAUUUUGUUUUACAGCUUUGUAGUAUCGUUGAGGGUCAAAGAUACACAAAAAAACUAAAUGAACAACAAGUUAGAUCUCUGCUGAGAGCAACUUGUCAACGUCCGAACAUUAGGGAGGGGAAUAUUACAAAGGUACUACAGUUUCUGAUGCUUAUUAUUUUUUAAAUUUGUUGAUAAGAUGAGAAUUGUGAUUCAUUUGGCGUUUCAUGUUUCUGCAGAUGCUCCCGGUCAAUAAAUUUGGAAUGGAUGUUUGCAAAGAACUUGCAAUGAUUGAAGCACGAGUUCUAAAUCCUCCAGCGGUACUUUCAUGCCAAUAUGUUAUAUUUUCAAGGAUACUGUCUGUCUUAUAAUAAGAUUAAUGUCUGUUUUGGUUGCUGCAGCUAAAGUAUCACGAUAGUGGACGUGACAAAAUUGUUAAUCCUAGUUGUGGGCAAUGGAACAUGAUCAACAAGGUGGUUUUUUUUUUUUUUCUUCCCCUCUUCUUUGAAGUGGCAUUGUUUGUAAAAUUUAAGGAAUCAGACCUGUCUCUUCAGUCUCCUCUUGUUCCAGAAUUCUUGUUCAUUUUUUCAAUUCAUUUUUAAGGUAUCUAUAAGUCUUUUGGGAAAAUUUUGGUAGGUUUUAAGGUUCAACAGUUUUUUUUUGCAGAAAAUGGUCAAUGGGGGUAAAGUCGAUUUCUGGACUUGUGUGAAUUUCUCCUCGGAAUAUUGGAAUAUGUCAGAAGACUUCUGUGCAGAGCUGGUGAAAAUGUGUAACAGCAAAGGAAUGGUAUGCUGUGUGGUUUUUUUAGUGUAAUUAUUUAUCACUAGCUUGAUUUCCCAUUUUGUUACUCUAGGUGUUUUGCCAAACUCCUUCAAUUGCAAUGCGAUCAGCUCGUGCUGAUCGAAUUGAUCAGACUCUCAUGGAUGUAUACAAAGAGUCUGCAGGCUUGAAAAAGCCACUUCAGUUGUUGAUAAUUAUCUUACCUGAUCUGACUGGCUCUUACGGUAAGAAAUUCUGAUGUUUUGUAAAUAGGUAAUUCCUGGGGUUUCUUUGCGCGACUCAAAUCUUUUUGCUUGCAGGAAAAAUAAAGCGAAUUUGUGAGACGGAGCUAGGUAUUGUUUCACAAUGUUGUAAGCCUGUGCAAGCUGCAAAGUUUAGCAAUCAAUAUUUUGAAAAUGUUGCUCUCAAGAUCAAUGCUAAGGUAUGUGUUUUGCCUCACUGGUGGUGAUUUGAUAUAGUGUUUUCAUGUCUUGUUAUCUUAAAUCAUUUGAGAAUUGUAAAUUCUGUAGGUUGGGGGGCGAAAUACUGUGCUGAACGAUGCUAUUUUAAGGAGAAUUCCGCUUGUGACUGAUGUCCCUACAAUCAUUUUUGGGGCAUGUGUCAGUCAUCCGCGUCCUGGCGAAGACUCUAGUUCUUCUAUAGCUGCAGUAAGCAUAUUCAUUAUUCUCUAUCAUCCCCAUUUUGUUACUUGAUCAUAUUUAAGAGGUUAUUGGCUGGAUGCAGGUCGUUGCUUCAAUGGAUUGGCCUGAGUUAACCAAGUAUCGUGGAGUUGUCUCUGCACAGACUGACCGGGUGGAAAUAAUCCAGGAUCUUUAUAAACAAACUAAGGAUCCACAGAAGGGUUUAGUUGAGGGUGGAAUGGUUAGGUAGGGAGAUAGAUUUAUUUCGGGCUUAAUUUUCUAGUUUCUUCUGGACGUGCUCUACUUUCUUAACAGUUCAAGUUCUCUGCAGGGAAUUGCUUGUUGCUUUCUUCAAGUCGACAAGACAAAAGCCUUCUAGAAUUAUCUUCUAUAGGUAAUGUUUGCUUUUGACCAUCCAAAUAUAUGUAUAUAUUUCUAGCAGCAGUGCUGAUAUCUGAUUUUUGAUGUGGCAGAGAUGGUGUUAGUGAAGGACAAUUCAGCCAAGUUUUGCUUUAUGAAAUGGAUGCGAUUCGGAAGGUAUUGAAAGCACUGUAUAAUGUCUAUUAUAGUUGGUUCACUGUAUAAUGGAUGCAAUGAUUUUUGGUGUUUGGGCCUUCUGACCCCUGCAGUUUUCUUCCUUCCAGGCUUGUUCCUCGCUACAGGAAGGAUAUAUGCCUCGGGUUACAUUUGUUGUGGUUCAAAAGAGGCAUCAUACUCGCUUAUUCCCUACCGAUCGCAACAAAACUGAUAGGAGUGGCAAUAUAUUACCAGGUGAUUCUAAUCUUAUAAUAGGGAUUUGAUCGUAUUCUCUUGAUCUUCAUUUUGUUAGCAUAUUUUAAUGUAGCCAAUAACUUUUAGGUACUGUUGUGGAUACUAGCAUCUGUCAUCCAACUGAGUUUGAUUUUUAUCUCAAUAGUCAUGCUGGAAGCCAGGUAAAAUGAGGCUUCCCUUGAAGUGUGAUGGUUUUUAUGUUAAAUUUGUCCGAUCUGAUAUUGAUGUUGUUGUGUAGGGGACGAGCAAGUCCACACAUUACCACGUUUUGUUUGAUGAAAAUGGCUUCACUGCUGACAUCUUGCAAGUGCUCACAAACAGUUUAUGUUACACGUAUGUGUUUACUCCUUUCUCUAUAAUCCUGAUAUGGGGUGAAUAAAUAAUGCUUUAGAUCAGCACUAGGAAUUAUAUAGUAAUAAUUUUACUUUGUGGACAGGUAUGCGAGGUGUACCAAGUCCGUUUCCAUAGGUUUGUGAUGAUGUUUUUUUGUCUUGUUAAAUUUGUUGACUAAGGUUGGUUUUGACAGUGAAUAUUUGGAUUAUAUGUUUGCAGUGCCUCCGGCGUACUAUGCUCACCUCGCUGCUUAUAGGGCACGCUAUUAUAUUGAGGAUGAGAUGUCCGAUGGUGGGUCUACUGGUGUGGGGGUUAGGCCGCUCCCCAGCAUAAAGGAUAAUGUGAAGGAAGUGAUGUUCUACGUCUGAUAAAUUAUGUUUGGUUGAUGGUGGAAAGUUGGGCGAGUAUAGUUGCAGUUUGUGGAUGAUGGUGGAGUCUUAUUUAAUUUUGGGGUUUAGGGUUUGGUGGUUGAGCGAAAUGUUGUCUGAAGUUUAGAUGAUUAUAUUGCACACACUGUUUGCGGAUUACGAAAAUUUCAUAAAUGUCCUUUAUUUUUAAGACACCUUCUUAGGAUUUUUAGUAUCAUUCUUAAUCUUCUUUUCUUUUAGGUCACCGAUUAAUUCAAGUGUGAUGAAAUUUUAAAGAAUAAUAUCUUUUUUUGUUACGAGUUUUUAAAUAGUUUAGAUGAUUAUAUUGCACACACUGUUUGCGGAUUACGAAAAUUUCAUAAAUGUCCUUUAUUUUUAAGACACCUUCUUAGGAUUUUUAGUAUCAUUCUUAAUCUUCUUUUCUUUUAGGUCACCGAUUAAUUCAAGUGUGAUGAAAUUUUAAAGAAUAAUAUCUUUUUUUGUUACGAGUUUUUAAAUAGUAAGGUACGUUCGGAAGUUCUAACUGCAACUCACCGCAACUCUAAUUUUCUACUGGAUUUGAAGCUCCAAUGAAUAAAAAAGCAACCCUAAUAAUUUUUUUUUUUACAAUUUUAAUGAACAUAGGAAAUAUAAUUUUAAUAUUUCAUUAAAUAAUUUUAUUAAUUUACAUAUUUUUAAUAAUUUCAUAAAAGUGAAAUAAUUUUAAAAACUUUUUAUUAUAUAUAUUUACUAAUCUAAUGUUUUUAAUAGUCAUGUUUUAUUAUCUUAUCGUUAUAACUGCGUUUGAAUUUAAAUACACUUCACUAUUGUUUCUAAUGUCACUACUAUUAUUGUUUUUAACUUAAUCGAAGAAAAAUGUGUUGUCCAUCCCAAUUAAACCUCAGUCCACUUAUAGUGAUUUUUUCUUUCGUUAAAUGUGCACGAAUCAUGCCAUAAAAAUUUUAAUAAUUUAAAUUUUAGUUUCGAUGAGUAAUGCGUUUAUUUUUUGUUAGAUUAAAUACAAUGAUGGUAGUGAGUUUAGUUACUAUGGUGAUGAAAUGAGACAUUGUAAUAGUGAGAGAUUAGAAAUAGCAGUAGGGUGUGUGUGUGUUUGAAUUCAAAUACAACUGUAACGAUGAGGUGAUAAUAGAAAAUGACUGUUAAAGACAUUAGAUUUAUGAUCUCUCUCAUUUCAUCCUUUUUUUUCCCUCAAAUUCUAUUGAUGGAUAAAAAAUUUUCUUAAAAUAUCAAAGGAAAAGCUCUCAUUUAAUCCUCUCAUCUGAUUGUAUGAAAAUUGUUUUGUUCAUUCAUCAGCUAUUCUGCUCUGUCAUUGCUUUUAUCUGUUUCAUUUUUUUCAAUCUAAAACUAAAAAACAAGCACCAUUUUUUCCAUUCAUGAUGACACAGAAGGUGAAGAAAAUUAUAAAUUUUGAUUCAUCAAUGAGUAUGGGUGGUUAACCAAAACAGAGAAGAUAAAAAAAAACGCAAUGUUUAAAAUAAGUCAUUUUCCUUUUUUAAAAAAAUGGAUUAUUGAAAAUUUUAAAAAUAAUUUUCAUUAUUUUCACCAAAAUGUUUUGUAGAAUUAAAAAAAACGAGAACAAGAGUUUUUUUUUUAAUUUUAAAUGAAUUCACAUCGGGUUAAAUCCAUAUAAACACAAAAAAUAUUUAUUUUUUAACAGUUUUUUUUUCUAAUAUUGAAUUCAGUACCUUGAUUCAAAUCCAUAUAAAUACAAAAUUUAUUUUAUUUUAUUAAAACAUGUUUUUAUUUCUAUUUAUCAUUUUUUUUUAAAAAAGAAAUGAAAAUCAUGUUUCUAUUUACCAAAUAUUUCAUAAAUUAAAAAAAAUAAAGAAAUAUUUCAUGUUUUAAAAAAAGAAAAAAAAAAGAAAUUCUAUUAUUUUCUGGUGAAGUAGAAAUUAGGAAAGGGAAGAGGAUGCUUGCCAUGGAAAUUGGGAUGGAAAAAAGUUGUUAUAGUUAAUAAAGAAUUUUUUUUGUAUUCUUUAUUUUUGUUUUACUGUUUAUGUUUGGGGUUCGUGAUUGUCGUUCUCAACAAUGUCAUAUCCAAGGUUUAAAUCUAUAUCUCAAAUUAAGAUUAUAGGUCAAACGCGAUUUUCGUUGAAAUAAUUAAUUUGAACAUUUAAAUAUGUUGAUUUCUUAAGUUUAAACCUUACUACACUAACUCAACAAAAUUCUUUUUUGAAAGAAUUCGAUCAAGAAUUUAAAUAAUAUAUAUAUGUGUAAAUAUGAGUUACCAUGAAAAUUUGAGUUAACUGCACUAAAUAUCUCCAAACUAUAAUCUUCAUUCUAAAUUAGUCCCUAAACUUCAAAUCAUUCUAGUUACAAUGUUAUAUCAGUUAGGUCAUUUUGUUACUAAAAUUGUUAAUUUAACUAUUAAAUGACACAUUAGAUUUUAUAAAAAUCUUUAAAAAUAUUAAAAAAUGUAAAAUUUUAUAAAAAUAAUAACAAAUAUAAAAUGCAUAAAAAGGGCGUUUUAACUAUUAACUUUAACCAUUGACUGUUAACGUUAAUGAUCCCUAGUUUUUUAAGUUAAAGUCAUUAUAUAUUGCAACAUAGUGUGACAUGUGGCAAAAAAUGAUAAAAAAUAAAUAAAAGUUAUAUAAAAAUUAUAAAAUGCUUAUUUUGGUAUGAUAAUUUUUAUAUUUUUUACGAAUUUUAUGUUUCUUUACAUUUUUUAUCAUUUUCUAUAAAAUUUUAUUUUUUCUAUAUUUCUAUAUAUUUUAUAUAUUUUUUAAGAUUUUUAUAAAAUUUUACAAUUUUUUAUGAUUUUUAUAAUGUUUUUCUAAUUUUUAGUAAAAAUUAAAUAUUUCUUAUAUUUUUAUUAAAAUUUAAUAACUUUUAUAACUUUUAUUGAUUUUUAUUUUUAUCAUUUUUUGCCACAUGUCACGCUAUGUUGUGACAUGUGGUGGUUUUAACUGAAAAAAAUUAGAGGCGGUUAGCUUUAACGAUCAAAGGACCUUUUUAAUGAAUUUUGACAAUUAAGUGCAAAAAGAAAAAGAAAAGCAGGGGCUUAAUUGCUUUUUUAAAAAAGUUUGAGGGCCUUUUUGAUGCAUUUUGACAGUUCAAUUACCCAAUUGAGUGCAAAAAAAGUAGGGCUUAAUUGUUUUUUUUUUUGAAAAAAUUUGAGGACUUUUUAUACCCUUAAACCUUAAUAUUUCAAAAAGAGUCAAAUAAAUUUUUUUAAUGGAAUGCUAACUAAAAAAAUAAUUUUUAAUGAUGUUGGUCAACAAAUAGUUUAAAAAUAAUUUAAAAAUUAUAAAAAUAAAAAAAUUUAGUAUGAAGUACUCGUAAAUUACUAUAUGGAUUGCCAUAUUUAAAAAUAUAAUGUUUUAGUCUAUAUUUCCAUUAAAAAAACAAUUCAAUUCAUUUUAAAAAAUUAAUGAUCAAAUUCGACUCAUUUUAAAAAAUUAAAGGCUAAAUUUAAUUAAAAAAUAAACCCAAAUUGAUAAAAAUGUAAAAUUAAAAACUUAAAUUGUGAUUAUGCCCCCCAAAAAGUAUAUGCAUUCUAUAGUGAAAAGGUAACUAAUUAUGGCGUGCUUGACUGCUUGCAUUUGUAGCAAGUUGAUUAAAGAAAUGCUGUGGAUUUUGUUUAUUAGGUGAAUUUAAAAUAUGAAACUAAAAUUUAUAUUUAACAUUUAUUCGUUAAUAAAAUGUAUUAUAAAAAUAUUGUUAUGAUGUAUUUUAUUAAAGAGAAAAGAUUGUAUGAAACUGUGAUUCUACAUUAUCUCAUCUCUUGCUUAUCUCUUUCUAAUAGAAAGAUGACAAAUUAUGUUAGGAGGAAAAAUCUGAUUUGUGAUUCUCCUAUUGGAAAGGAAUGAAGAUGAUGUAGAAUCACAAUUUCAUACAAUCCGUUCCCUCUAUUAGAAUAUUAUAAAAAUGAUUAUCAUAUGAGUAAGGAGGUCCAUGACAUUUAAACUUUUUAUGAAAUCUAUUCCUUUUAUUUUCGAGGUCCCUUGGAUUAUAUGUUUUUUAAUUUUGUGAAUUUACUUUAACUCAUUUCGUUUAAUCUUAACAAAUUUAUUGAAUAACUAAAUUAGACAUCGGAGAAAAAUGAGUAAGUUUUACCAACUUCAUGUUUAAAUGUAUAAAAAAAAGAAAAAAAAUCAGGUUAAAUUGCAUUAUUACGUACAGAAAAUUCAUAAAAUUUAUUUAAAAUAAUAUAAUUUAGAGUAAAUUAUACAAUUAAUCACUAAAUUAAAUGUCGGAGCAUCAAUUGAGUACAAAGAAGUACUUCAGCCUUUAAAUAGGGAUUAAAGGUUAAGAUGUACCCUAAUUGUCUCCAUGAUUGAACAAUACUUCAAUAAUUGCAGAAUUUCAUUGUGAUGAAAACUAUUAGAAUAAAGGAAGUCAGAGUUAGGUCGAAAUCUUCGACCCAAAUUCUGCUUUAAUUUAGUGGUAACUGUAAAGGGAAAUGGGUUGGGGUUUAAGGCUCGAAAAGUUGUAAUUUUAAAUUAGAGGGAAAUGGGUUGGGGUUUAAGGCUAUUUAGAGGACAAAUUGAUACUAACCUUGCCAAGGGGUGUCGAGGUUAGUGUAUUUAAUUUAACAAAAUAUUAAAAAAAAAGUUCCACAAUAAUAAAACUUUAACAAUAAAACUAUUAAAAAUCUAAGUGAGUAUUUUUACUAUGUUUAUGGUACGGGAAGAUAUGCCCUAUUCUUGAAACCUUGACACAACUAUUUUAUUUGUAAAAGAAUAGAAAAUUAUCUCUUAUUUAUAAAUUGAAGAACGAUUAUAAGUAGUUUUAAAUAUUCUAUCAGAAAGAAUAAAUAUGCUUCGAACUAAUUUUGUUCGAUAAACGAACUUUAUAAGUUGAGUUAACUUUAAAAGCUUAAUAGUAAAUAGUGUAAAAUUUAUAUGAUAUUUAAAAUAUAUAUAUAAUUUAAUAGUAAAUUUGUAAUUUUAUUUUUUGAAGGAUAAUGCUAAUAUUUUAAUUUAUUUAUUAUUUAUUAUUAUAAUUUUACAUAAAAAUUGAUCUAAUUAACUUGUAACAUCAACUAAGUUAAAUAUUUUUUUAAGUAUUAAAUUAUGUUACAAACAUGAUGUUACUGUAAAAGAUUAUGUAAAAAAUAUAUUAAUAAAUAGGUCAAAUGAGGUAUUCGUUGAAAUGAUUAAUUUGAACAUUUAAAUAUGUUGAUUUCUUAAGUUUAAACUUUACUACACUAACUCAUUGAAAUUUUUUUUUGAAAGAAUUCGAUCAAGAUUUUAAAUAAUAAUAUAUAUGUGUAAAUAUGAAUUACCAUGAAAAUUUGAGUUAACUGCACUAAAUAUCUCCAAACUAUAAUCUUCAUUCUAAAUUAGUCCCUAAACUUCAAAUCAUUCUAGUUACAAUGUUAUAUCAGUUAGGUCAUUUUGUUACUAAAAUUGUUAAUUUAACUAUUAAAUGACACAUUAGAUUUUAUAAAGAAAAAAAUAAAUAUUGUAAAAAUGAACGUUCUAAAAAUAUUAAUUUUGAUUUUUUUAAGCUUUAUUUUAUUUUUCGUUUUUACUUUUUAAAAUUUUGCAAUAACAUUUGUAAAGAAUAGAGAGAAAAGAUUGAUUUCUCAUUGAUUAUUAGACAUGAAUAUAUACAUACAAGUAUAGAUAAUUAAGCCUAUGAUCAAGCUAUAUUACAAGGAAACUACUAUCUAUAUACAAGUCAAAAUUCUAAACAUGGAACUUAACAUAUCAACCCAAUACCUAAGCAUGGUAACUGCAUAUUUUCAUAAUACUCCCCCUCAAGUUGGUAAGUGAAUAUUUUGAACUCCCAACUUGCUUUUCAGAUUUUCAAACUGGUCCCGACCCAAAGCCUUUGUAAAAAUGUCUGCCAACUGCAUUUUAGUCGGAAUAUAAUAUGGUCUAAUAAGUCCGGAUUGUAGCUUUUCACGUACAAUAUGACAAUCGAUCUCUAUAUGUUUUGUACGUUCAUGAAAGACCGGAUUCGCUGCUAUGUGUAUUGCUGACUGAUUAUCACAAAAUAAUUUUGCUGGUCUUGUCCUUGUCACUCCCAAAUCCUGUAGGAUAUAAUGGAGCCAUGCAAUCUCUAAACAAGCAUUUGCCAUUGCUCUAUACUCUGUUUCAGCAAAUGAUCGCGAAAUGCUCGCCUGCUUUUUUGAUUUCCAUGAGAUUAAAGAAGAUCCAAGAAAUAUACAAUAUCCUGAAAUAGAUCGUCGAGUCAUACUACAACCUGCCCAAUCUGAAUCGCAAUAAGCCUUCAAUUCGAAAGAAUUCAUGGAUGGCAAUAGAAGACCUUGUCCCGGCGAGCCUUUUAUAUAUCUCAGUAAUCGAAGUGCUGUGUUCCAGUGUGUUGUUCAUGGUUCUCCCAUAAACUGACUGAGCAUAUGUACGGCAUACACUAUAUCUAGUCGUGUUACUGUCAAGUAAAUGAGACGACCAACAAGUCUCCUAUAUUUAGUUGGUUCGUGAAGUAAUUCCCCGUCGGUUGCAUUGAGCUUUAUUUGUUGUUCCAUAGGAAAACUUUCUGGUUUGGCCCCAAUUAAACCUACAUCCUGUAGUAUAUCUAGUGCAUAUUUUUGUUGGGACAUAAAAAUGCCUUGCUUGGAUCGUGAGAAUUCAAUACCCAAAAAAUAUUUCAAUGAGCCCAAGUCUUUGAUGAGAAAUUGCCUAAGUAAGGUCUGCUUUAGUUGGCUGAUUUCUUGUAAAUUGUUUCCCGUUAAUAAAAUAUCAUCAACAUAGAUGAGUAAUGCAGUAAAAGAUGUACCUUGUAUCUUUGUGAAUAAACUGUAAUCAGCCUUGGAUUGCUUAUAACCAGCUUGCUUUAUAGCGAUGGAAAAAGUGAAGAACCAAUUACGUGAAGCCUGUUUAAGUCCAUAAAGGGAUUUAUUCAGCCGACAUACGAAAUUCUCCCCCUGACGGCGAAGUCCCUGUGGAAGAGUCAUGUAAACAACUUCUUGUAAUGCACCAUGUAAAAAGGCGUUUUGCACAUCUAACUGAUGAGUAUACUAGCCCCGGGUAGAAGCAAUAGACAGAAGACAUCGAAGUGUAGUUAACUUAACCGUUAGUGAGAAUGUUUCAUGGUGAUCAAUUCCUUCAACUUGCAUGUAACCUUUGGCAACAAGACGAGCUUUAUAACGUUCGACCGAUCCAUCAGAAUUGUACUUUAUUUUAUAAACCCAUCGGCAACCGAUAGGCUUUUGUCCUGUAGGAAGAGAAACAAUGCUCCAAGUAUGGUUACGUUCCAAAGCUUGUAAUUCUAUAUCCAUAGCUUUUUGCCAAUGAGGGUGAAGUGCAGCUUCUUCAUAAGAUUUAGGUUCAAUUUGUGUUGUAAGGUUAGCUAAAAAAGAUCGAUGUUUAGGUGAGAAAUGAGAAAGAGUCAAGUAAUUUGUAAUGGGAUACCUGGUAUUGUGAAUCAGACUUGCUUUCGGGGCAGCGUGAUUGGCUUCAGAUGACAUGAUAUACUCUUGAUGCCAACGUGGUUCUUGUUUAGUUCGAGUUGAUCUACGGAGAGUUUGGUCAUCAGGUAGAGCUACAGAAGGUGGUUGCAUUUCUUCGGUAGUAAUAGGAGGAAUGGAUGGUGAUGAUAAAGUGAUAUUAGGUGGCUGAGUAAAGGACGGUGGACUGGUCGAGGAUGAUGAAUUGUUCGGUGGUAAAGGGUCACUAGAUGAUGGCUGAUUUUCAGCAGAUGGGGCAUGACUUGUUGGGAAAGAAAUCUGAUCAGCAUCCAAAAUUAAUUGUGGCUGCAAGUUUGGUGAAUGAGAUGAAACUUUUUGAGAAAAAGGAAAAAUAUUUUCACAAAAAUGUACAUCAAGACUGGCAAAAAAUUUCUGAGUAGUGGGGUCAUAGAGUUUGUAUCCUUUUUGUCCAUUGGGAUAUUCGACGAAAACACAAGAGAUAGCUUGAGGAUCAAAUUUGAGUUUGCGAUGAACAUUGGUGGCAUAACAUUGACAGCCAAAAACUUUGAGAUGGUCAAGUUUUGGACGUUUGUUGUAUAGACGCUCAUAUGGUGUUUGGUUUGAUAAAACUGGUGUAGGGAGCCGAUUUAUUAGGUAAACAGCAGUCAAGGCACAAUCGCCCCAAAAGGUUAAAGGAACAUUAGACUGGAACCUAAAGGAACGAGCCACGUUAGGAUGUGACGAUGUUUUCGUUCAACAACACCAUUUUGUUGUGGUGUGUUACACAAGAAGUUUGAAGCUCAAUGCCGUGGUCAUAAAGAAAGGUUUUAAGAGGCUCAAACUCAGUACCAUUAUCAGUCCUUAGGAUUUUAAUGGAAGUAUCAAACUGUGUAUAGACAAAACGGAUGAAUUUUGAUAAAAGAUAUUGAGUUUCAGAUUUGUGUCUCAUUAAAAAAAUCCAAGUGCAACGUGUGUAAUCAUCUACGACGGUGAGAAAGAAACGAGCUCCUGUAUGUGUGGCAAUUUUAUGAGGCCCCCACACGUCGCAGUGUAUUAAGACCAAAGGAACUUUAGUGGUGAUUGAACUAAUAGGAAAAGGUCUUCUUGUUUGUUUUGCUAAAGGACAAACACUGCAAUUAUGAAAAUCAACAGAUUUCUUAUUCAAGGAUAACAAAGGAGAAAUUAAUUUGAAACGGGAAUGGGAUAGAUGUCCGAGGCGCAUAUGCCACAGAUCUGGUGUGCUAGAGGCUUGAAAAGAGUGAACUGGUGAAUACGUAGGCAUCAUGUGAUAGAGACCUCCAUGUUGUUUACCCGAGCCAAUCAUCUUCCCCGUCGUCAAGUCCUGCAAAAAACAUGAGUCAGGAAGCAAUAUAAUGCGACAAUUCAAAUCUCUAGUAAGUUUACUGGCAGAGAUUAAAUUGAGAUGAAAAGUAGGAACACAUAAGGUAUUUUUAAGGGUAAUAUCAGGACUGAAUUCUAUGUUCCCGGUUUUUGUGAUUGGAGCAGUGGCUCCAUUCGGUAGAUUAACUGAAUGUACUAUCGGUGGUUUUGUAUAUCUAAAACGAUAUGAAUUCGAAGACAUGUGGUCAGUAGCACCACUGUCUAAGAUCCACGAGUUUGACGUGGCUGAAUUGGCAAAAGCUUUGGAUAUCGAAAACAAACCUGUCGCGUUUGCAUAAACAUCAACAUUACCAAUGGAAGUUCCUUGAUCCACCGAGGCUAAUGCCUUUGCUAUUUGUUGAAGAUAUUCAACUGAAAAUCCCUGAAUAUUAUUCGAGUUCUUUUCCUCCUUUUCAUUAGAAGUUUCAGAAAGAUUAGCUCGAGGGAUAGCUUUCCCAUUGUUUCGAUUUCCUCCGCGAAUUUGGCUUGAAGAAUUGCCAUCUGCUCUUUCAUUCUUCAACCUACAACGAUCCUCAGUAUGUCCACGUUUAUCGCAGAAUUUGCAAUGAAAUUUCAAGGUACGACAUUCAUUGAUAGUAUGUCCAGAUCUAUGACAAUGAUCACAAAAUUUAGAUGAUGAUUUUGAAAAUUGCACCUUGUUUUGCACAGCUGCAGCAAUGGUGAAGUUCUCGACUGGUUCGGAUGAAAGUUGUCUUUGUGUUUCUUCCUUACAAUCAAAGAAUAUGCUUGCCGUACAUUAGGAAGAGGUGUCAUCAUGAGAAUGUUGGAUCUAACGGCUUUAUAUGACUCAUUAAGUCCCAUUAAAAAUUGCAUUAAUCUGUCUUCCUGAAGUUGCUCCAGAUGUGACGCAGUCUGGUUGCAGGUGAACGGAUUGCGAUAAGUAUCCAAUUCAUCCCAUAGCAUUUUCAGUUUGAUGUAAUAAGAUGCUACGGACAUGGUCCCCUGCGUGAUCGUAGCAAUGGGUUUUUGGACUUGGAAAAUUGCUGGUGCAUUCUUUUGAGAAAAUUGAUCUCGAAGAUCAAUCCAAACUUGAUGUGCGGUUUUUGCGUGCACUAUGCCUUCGGCAAGAUUCGGUUCAACCGAGUGUGUUAACCAUGAUAAAAUCAUGCUGUUGCACUGAUUCCAUAGUGUGAAUGCUGCAGGAUUUUUAUCUUGUGAAGGAGCUUCAAUGGAUCCAUCAAUAAAGCCAAUUUUGUUUUUGGCCGUAAGAGCAUGGAUCAUGGCUUUACUCCAUGAUUGAUAGUUAGCACCAUUUAGUUUGAUGGGAACAAGUAAAUGGCCAGACUGAUCGGAGUGAUGAACAAAAAAAGGAUGAGAGGGAUCGGAUGAAGACUGCGUUAAUGAGUUUUCUUUGUCAGGCAUGGCUGUUUUGAAUGUGAUGAAUAAGAAUGAUAAUUAAUAGCCCAAGAAAGCUACUCUGAUACCAUGUAAAGAAUAGAGAGAAAAGAUUGAUUUCUCAUUAAUUAUUAGACAUGAAUAUAUACAUACAAGUAUAGAUAAUUAAGCCUAUGAUCAAGCUAUAUUACAAGGAAACUACUAUCAAUAUACAAGUCAAAAUUCUAAACAUGGAACUUAACAUAUCAACCCAAAACCUAAGCAUGGUAACUGCAUAUUUUCAUAAUAACAUUUUACUUUUUUAAAAAUUUCAUUUUAACUGUAAAAAAUUUUGCAAAAAAACUUAUCCUCUAUUAAUUACUUCGAAGUAAAACAAACUAACACAAAAUUAAAAGAAAAAAAGGAGGGCUUAAAGUAACAAACGCAAGAAGGCUAGUAUAAAUUAAAUUUACCGUAAAAAAAGAUGUAUGAAUGUAAUUUACACUACACUCAAUCACAGUAAACCCCUGAAACCUGUAAUUUUACAUGGCUGAUGAUGAAGAUACACGGUGAACCAAAAAAAAGAAGAAGACAACCGUGAAAAUAACCUACCAAUUGUUUUGCACAUUGAGCAGCCGGCGGAAUCCUUACAGGAUAUGUUACAAGAACAGUAGACCGGUAAGCAAAAUUAUAGGUAGAAGUAAAGUUAGCAUGCCCCGUACUUGAUCCCGCGAUGAACCAUCAUUGCUCAUCUGCCCCGCAUUGACAAAUUCAGUUCUUCCUGUGUUGAUAUUUGUUGAGACAUUGAACCUGAUCUCAAUACACAAAGGAGCAGAUUCAGAGUUGACAUAAACUCGAUGAGAUAAAAAUGGAAACGAGCAUUGGUAUUCCGAAUUUUAACGUCUUCCGCACCUAUUGAAUAUGUCCUUUUAACAACGUAAUGGUGGAAAAGUCAUUUUACAGGAUUCAGGAGGUUGUUGAACUGGAGAUUAUUGGAUAAAUCUAUUCUAACGUAUAAUACGAAAGUUCAUUUUGACACUUACAGUCAUAGUUGGUCCAUCCGAUCCGUUGAUUCACCAAAUCAUAUACAAAGAUUUUGUAUUUUAGAACAAGAUCUGCAAAAGAAAAGGAGGAAUAUUUAUGGCUUACUACAUCAUGCAGGCAAAAAUCAUCCAGCUAAGUGACAUAUAAAGCAUUCAAAUUUCAAGCACAAAGCUAAGCUUAGGCCUACAAGUAACAAAUUGUCUCCAUCGUAACUUUCUGAAAAUUAAACAAAUUAUAGAAAGCCCAGAAUUCAUGAAGUCUCCAGACAUGUAUAACGUAAUCAAUCCGAACAUUCUGUGUAGUGAAAAUACCUCCUAAAAUUGUUAUCCUUUGACCCUGAAUUUUCUGAAAGCCAAUGCGCCAACUUGCAGAACCACCCUGUAAAUAUAAGUCAGCCGUUUUUCAUUCAGGAAUUCAGGAUAUGAAAUAAAAACGACACACCAUACAAAACAAGGAAGUCCGUUCAGACUGACGUUAGGUUUUAGGGCUUGUCUCAAUAUACUUCCACUUUGGAACUGAAACAUGGGCUAAUAAUGAGAUUCAAACAGCUAAAAGAACAAAACAGAAAAUAAAUAACAAAGAACCCCAUCAAACUAUUUUGUUCAAAUAAAGAAAAUCAGACAAACUCUACCGUAUAACAGAAAGAAAAUAUGAUUCAGUAGAUAGAAAUCUAUGCAUGCAUGUCAAAAGCUUUAGAUAACUUACGAUAGAAUUCUGCUGUACAAGAUAGUCUUGCGGAUUUAAAAUCAUGGAUGCACCACCAGCAAAGUUCAGACUAACUUGAGGGAAUAUGUCGUUGAAACUAAACAGAAUGUUAACAUACUGUCAGUUACGAGUUACAAUCAUCCGUCACUGAAACAAACUGAAAUAAUAUCAAUGGGGAGUCAACCUGGAGGUUAUAAGGUAGCAUUGAUUUCCUUUGGAAAGAAUAGGGCGCACGGUUUGUGAAACAGCAUUUGUGAUCUGCACAACAAGAGAAUAGUUAAUCACUAAACUCGUGAUUCACAACUAAUAUCAGAAAACAAGCAUAACAAGUGAAAAGCACAUAUAUAUUUUAAAUGACAGUUGAUCUUCUUAAUGUUGGCCAAGUAUCGGUAAAACCUAGCUUGAGACUUACAGCACUCAUGAAAGCAUCAUAAGCUUCAUCAGCUAGGUAUGCUAAAGUUGUCCCGGAAUCAACUAUUGUUCCUUGGUUGUUUGAAGUAGAAAACACCGAUGGGUUUAUUGAUAAAACUUGUCCACCAACUGAAAUGCUCCGCAGAUCAAGAUUAUUUUCUUUUAUUCCCCUUUUAACAUCUCAAUUAGUCCAAAAAGUAUUUUUUUUGUAAAAAAGUUUAUUAAUAAAUUUUAUUUAUUUUUUGAAAAAUAUUUUUUUUGUUCAAAUAAUAUCUGACAUAAUAGUUAGCUGUAUUUAUAGUAGUUUUCAUUCAUUCAAAUUAUAUUUGAAAACUAUAGUAAGGCCCAAUUUCGUCCGGCCCAAAUAGAAACAAAAUAAAAACUAAAAAUAAAAAUUCCAAGUCUAUUUAAAAAAAUGGCCGAAAUACAAAAAAAAAAAAACCUAAAGUCCACAACCUAAAUUUUUUUCAUAAAACUAAAAAAAACCCUAGGCCUUUCGCGUCGCACCCCACCACGUUGGCGUGCUGACCGCCCGAGGCCUGACGCACCCUCUACCACCAUUGUAAUAAAAUGGGAAGGCAUGACUCUCAUCGUCGUCGUUGACCACCAAGAGUACCUGCAAAGAGAAAACGAAAUAGGACAAAGAGCAAAAAUAGUGGAAAUGACAAAAACAACAAGAAACAAUACAAAGAAAUAAAUAGUAUGUAAUAUAUGGCUAUAAAAGCCAUAACAACAGAUUGUAUUAAAACACAUGAAGCAAUCGAAACAGAAUAGAAAGAACAAUUUUAAAAAGUGAUUCUUUUAUUUUUGUUACUCUAUUUUAUAUAUUUGUUUUAAAAAAACAUAAAAUAAAAAAGAAAUUGAAAACUUACCGAGUUGUUUCGUGUUCCACCGCCGCGAUUGGACGAGGACACCGUUUCUGAUGAUGGACUGCUCUUUUCGGUGAGACCUCCGAAUCACUUUUGAUUCGUCUGAGGACCAAGUCAGAGAAACCGAAGGACUUCUCGGAUUUUCUUGUUUUUUGUCGAGUUUUGGGAAACAUCGACCCCAUAUUUGGACUAUGGGAGCCGAAAAGGUCAAAAAAGGUGUUGCUUUGUGGAUUCCGGCCAUCGGGAACGGUGGACCUCAUCGCCGAUAACAGGUGGCCACUGUGAGGGGGUUCACCGGACCUUAGGGCCGGCCUAAAGGUUGUUUGAGAGAAAAGGAGAGAAAGACAAUUUUUUUUAAAUGCGGGAGAGAAUGGUUUUUUUUCAAAAUUUUUUUGACUUUUAUAUGCUUUUAAAACGGUGUUGUUUUGGGGUUGGCCUCAGACGCCCAAAACAACAUCGUUUUGACACGACCCGAGACCUGACUCGAAUACUAGCAGGAUCUGCGUGUUUUCACGAUAAGGGUUUAAUUACGACCUUAGUCCUUCCGCUUUUUAAACGCAUUUCAAUACAAUCCUAUUUUUGGUCUUUUUUCUUUUUUAAAUUUAUACCAUUCAAUUUUGAAUUUUUUUUAUUUUUGUCCCUCUGGGUAACGGUGCGCAUAAUGAGGUUGGGAAUAUUUUCCCAUUCGACCCCUAUUCUUUCUUUCGUGUUAUAUUUUAGUCAUUUAUUUUACUUUAUUUAUUCAUUUAUUUAUUUUAUAUAAUUCAUUAUUUCAAUUACAAUUUAGUCAUCCAUUUAUUUAAUUUCACAUUUUAAUUACCUUUUUUUAAUUUUUUUAGCACUUAAAAUUUAUGUUGUUUAUAUCUUUUUAUUUUUUAUUUAUGCAUUUUUAGAUGGUUAUUACAUUUCUUAUUUAUUUAUUUAUUUUGGUAUUAUGAUAGUGAUAUGACUAUUGUCAUUAGUAUUAUGAACUAAUAUUCUUAUUAUUAUAAUUACAUUAUUAUAGUAUUAAGUUAUAACUUUGAAAGGGGAAAUAAAGGAUUAAAUUAAAAUACAAUGCAAAAGUUUAGGGAUUCUGAGGACAAUUAGUCCAAAGUAGUACACGCGUCAUUCCCCGAGGGGUCAACAGUCUGAAGACCAAACUGAAAAUGAAUCCAAACUGAAUGGCAUAAUUUCUAAAAAGAAAGAACAGUGAAAUUAGGACCGGAUUGAAAUAACACAAAAGGUGGAGGGACCAAGGCCAUAAAUAGACCAUUUCCAUGAAAACACGUGAAUCCUAGGGGAUCUAGAUCAAGUUGGCAGGUCAGGCUUGAAACGAUGCCGUUUUGGGACCUCUGAAACCUGGCCGAAACGGCAUCGUUUGAUAACGCCUAUAUAAGUCAAAUUUUUUUAAAAUAUUUCAUUUCAAAUUCGGUUUAACAAAAAAAAAACUUUGAGCCCUUUUUUUUUCUCUCUCAACCCUCCCCCAGUCCGGCCAUAGAGCCACUACAAGCCCACCAUGGCCACCGGUCAUCGGUUACAGCGAUCGUUGCCUUCGGUGGCCGGAGUUGCAAAAAUAGGCUUUUUUAACCCUUCUUCGGUCUAGAUAUGAAGGUUUGCCUUCUGUUCUAAAAAAAUAAAAUAAAAAUAAAAAAGAUAAACUUUUGGCUCUUUCACCAAAUCGACGCGUGCCUUUCACGCCCCGUUUUGUCGAGGCCCAGGCCAAACCCUAAUGGGUUCUAAGGUUUUCGGUGUCAGAGAAAACCUCCGACGACAGAGGGAGGCGAAGCGACUCAGGUAAAAAAACAUAUUUGAUCAUUUAUUUAUUAUAAUUUUUUGAAAUUAAAAAAAAAAUCACCUUCGUUUUUUCUUUUAACCUUUUUUGUUCUUUGUAUUCAAUUUUUUCGUAUAUGAAUAUUACAAUAGUUUGGCUUUUUAUAGCCAUUACAAUAUUUCAUUUUUUUUUCUUUUUCUUUUUUGUUUCUGCUUUGCUAUGCUAUGCUCUCUUUUUUUGUCUAUUUGUCAUAUAAGGACCUCAAAUUUUGAAUUUCAUAGCUAUUUGGUACCUUUAGCUACUAGAAUUCAACUUUUUCAUUUUAUGCAAUUUGGUCAUUUUUAUCAAAUUAAACAUGUAAUCGGUAAAAAUUUCUUAACAAAAUUUUCAUACGAUAUUUCUAUCAUACUGUAGACUAUAAAAUAAUAUUAAAAUGAAUUUUCUUCAGACCUUGGAUUUGUGGUCCCAAAACCACUAUUUCGAUUUCACUGAAAAUGGGCUGUUACAGUCAACGGUGGGGAGAGAGCCGUAACUUUGCCAUUUUGGCACAAUGGUGGCAAUGGAGGCGUCAGGUCUCGAGUAGUGCAUCCGCUGACGUGGCUAGGAGCAGCGACGAAAAUGGGAUCUAGGGUUUUUGAUUUUCUGAAAAAAGUUUAGGUUGUGGGCUAUUGGGCUUUGGGUUGUUCGUAUUAAGUUUAGUAGAUAGAUUGGGCUAUUGAGCUGUUUUUUAUUCGGACCAAUCUAUUUUGUAAAUGGAUUAGGACUUUUUAUUUUUAGUUUUAUUUUGUCUAUUUGUCUGGGUUGGACAGAAUUGGGCCAUUACAUGGGCCAAAUCUAUUACUUCUAGAAUUUGACUUUAAAGUUUAUAUUGAGUUUUUAAAUUUAGUCUAUUAAAAUUAUAUAAUUAAAAAUUGAAAAAUAUUUUAUUAAUAUAAAGUAUAAUAAAAAAUAAAAAAUAUAUAAUUAACAUAUUUUUAAUAAAAAUAUCAGAGAUUAGAAUAAAAUUUUAAAUAUAAAUUUAAAAUAAGAAUAUAAUCGAAAAUAAGAAAGUAAUGAUUAAGAUUUCAUAUUCAGGUCCUAAUAAAUAAGAUUGAAAAAUGUAAAAUAGGGUGGCAGUGUACCGUAGCAGAACAGUUACAGACAAAAUUCACCACCUUGAAACAGUAAAAAAAUAAGCGGGUACUGUGAAAUUUGAUGAUCUCAUUGCUCCAUAUGGAAAACAUCUGAAGCUUAAGUCAUUGAGCUGUGUGAUCAUCAGUGAUUGGUUAACUUUUCCUCAUUGAGGUUGAUUGACAUUACCAUUCUCAUACCAUAAUUAAAUAUGUCAGGUGUCAUGCAUUAUUAACCUUAUUAAUAAUAUAUUUUCUUUUAAUAUUGUUUAGAAAGCUCCAAGCAAUAAUUUAAUUAUCGGUAUUAUAGAUUAAUAUUUGUCGACAAGUAGAACAACGAGAUUUAGAUUUAAGUUGAUUUGACGAUUAGUGUUGAAGAUUAGAGAAUAAAGAUGUUUGAAUUUUAGUUUUGCAGAUUUAUGGCGUUUAAAGCUGUUUCAUAAAAAAAUAAAAUCAUAAAAGAGUAGGGAGCUUUUGAUUGAUGCAAACAGUGUGAAUAAAGAAAGUCAUGCAACAAUGAUUUGAACUAUCCAAUGAUCUAAAUGAAAAGUUUUGAAUAGUUCAAUAACCAUUUUGUAACUUUUUGAAGUUAAAUGACUAAACCAUAAAUUUACUAAUAGCUUAGUGACAUUACGUAUAGUUUAUCCAGAAAAAGGGAUAAAUCUUGAAACUAUAUAUGAAUUUUAUUUUAAUGUGUAAUUUUAUACCCAAACUUUAAUUUUGUACAAUUUUGUACAUGAAAUUUUAAUUUGAUUAAAUUCUCACUAUUUUUAACACAAAUAUUGAUAUAACAUCAAUUUAUAUUUAUAUAUUGUAUACACAGAGAGUUAUAUUUAUUAAAUAUAGAAAUAUAAUUUAAGGGAAAAAUAUAAUUUAAUAAUUUUAAAAAAAUGUUAGACUUUUAACAAAUUUUUCAAGAAGUGAUUUAUUCACUUUCAAAAUUAAUAGAAACUUAAAUUAUUAUUCAAUUUAUUCGAAUUAUAAAAAUUUAAUUUGAUCGAAACUUAAUAAUUCAGCUAUCUAUUCGAAUUGACUCAAUGUGAGUGUAGAUAGCGGUUUAUUUAUUUACAAUUAGUGUAAAAAUAAUGAUGACUGUAAAAUUAGAUACUGAAAAGAUAUUAUAGUUUGAAAUAAAAAAUAAACUAAAUACACUGCAUUACACCCGUUAAUACUUUACUAAUAAAAAAGUUUAUGAUAUUAACAUAGAAUUUAAUAAAACUUUGUAAAAGAAAAUAAAAGUAAAAGGCAGGAUUAGGUUGGAGUUGCUUUUCCCGAAGGUGGAAAAUGUUAUAUGCUGAUAAGAAGAUUGUUUGAAUCAUCGUCUUUUUUAAUAGAAAUAUUAAAGUAAAAAAGUAAUAUUAUUUUAUUAUAAAGUCAAAGCAAAUGGUAGAAAAAAACAAAGACGACCUUUAGGCAAGGAGAAUAUUACGCACUUUAUCCUCUUGCUUGGCUUACGCUCCCACAGUCCGCCUAACUUCCAUGUUUCAUAAAUCGUACGUUAAUUAUCAUAUUUAUUGAAAAGAUGGAGUUUUAUAAAAAAAACAAUAUAAAAAAUAGUAUUUGAUUUAGAUUAUUUAUGAAAAUUUAUGUUUUUUAUAUUGAACUUAUAUGCUAGUGAACUGUCAAUACCACCUUAAGUUAUUCCCAAUUAAUCAAUCAUAUGGUAAAAAGAUAACAUUUUUUUCGAGUGGUGUCACCUUGUAUUUUGGUAACACCAGUUUUUUUUUUUAAAUGUAAUUUUUGUGGUGUCACCUGAAAUGUUAGUAAUAUUUGCGAUUUUUUUAAAAAGGCCUAACAGGAAAGAAAAAGAGUUGAAACGGAAAAAAAAAAUGAAGUCGGUUUGAAAACUUUUUAAAAAAUUGGCCUUAAUAAGUACUAUCUGACAGUGUGGCACCAACAGCACCUUAUAAAUAUCCUUCCCUCAACCAAAACAACAAAUUUUGAAUGUUUGUACUUUGAAACAAAAGGGAAGAGAGAAAAACUAGUUGUUAGAAAUAAAAAUUGAAGAUCAACAAUAUUUAUUUUUCAUUUUUGAAUUCAAGUUUUUUUUUCAUUUUGACUUUACAAAUUAAGUUUGAGUUGAUAAGGUUAGUUUGUAAUUUAACGAAAAAAUAUGGAGAUUAAUUAUAUAAUUUAACCUAAUUUUUUUGUUUUAAAUGAUGAUUUAACAUUCCACGUCAGCUUACCGUUAUGCUAAUAAAGACAAUUAAUAACUCAGUGAAUAAAAUGUUACAACAUAUUAACAUAAGUGAUUAAAAUGUAAUAUUUUAAACAUAAGUGACUAAAAUAUAACUCGAGAAAAAUAAAAGUGACUAUUUAGUAGUUUACCCAAAAAAUUGUACAAAAAAAACGGGCUUACUUUGUGUUUAGGGUUUUUUACAGAUAUAAGUUAAAAAAAAUUAAUACUGAAAUAGGUUACCAGAUAGAUUAAUUACCAAAAUUGUAUUUUUUUUAAUGGAGCCUAUCUGACAGGCGCAAAUGAAUAUUUUAUAUUAAAUUUUUUUGUUUGAAUAAAAUAUUAAUUUUUUUAUUUUUAUUAAAAAUAUUUAAAUAUAAAUACAGGUCAAAAUACGAUUAACGGGUCAAAAUACGGGUGAGAAAUGAGUUUUCGGGUGGCGCCUGUCAGAUAGGCGCCACUAAUUGCGCCUCAUAGGGAGGCACCAAUGACGAUGGCAGUUUGCUGCAUUGCUGCCUGCCGCUACAAUACCAGCAUGGUGUUGUCCCUUCAACACCAGCAUUUUAUGGCCUAUAAGUAUGGUCCCAAGGUCCCCAAACAGCUUUCAUGAACGGAAGAGAGGAAGGAAAAGAAGAGAAGAAGAAGAAGAGAAGAAAAAGAAGAAAGAAUAAAAAAAAAGGUAAUGUAUUAUUUUAGUAAAUAAUUUUGUUUAUUAAAUUAUUUAAAGAGUUUAAUUAAGAUAUUGUGAUUUUUUUGUUAUUAAUUAUUAAUCAUAAAUUAUUUAUGUUUUGGAUUAGUAUUUUGUAUGAAUAUUGUAAUUUUUUUUCUUUUUAUAAUUAUUUUAAAAUUAAUUUGUUAGUAAUUUAGGAUUAUGUUAUAAAUUUUUGUGUUUGUAAUUAUUUUACAAUUAAUUUAUUAGUAAUUUAGGAUUAAGUUAUAAAUUGUUGCGUUUAGUUUAGUAUUUGGUGAGUUUAACAUAUAAGUUUAUAAAAAAAUAAAAAAUCAUUUUAUUAAAAGUUUAAUUAGAAUUAACUCUUUUAAUCAUAUAGUUGAUGUUAACUCAUUUAAUUUUUAUAUAAUAUGAACAUAGUUGCUGUUAAUUCAUUUAAUUUUUUAGGGUUUUUUACUGGAGUAUAUUAAAAAAAUUAAAUACCGAAAUACAUUAAAAAAUAUUUAUAUUGAAAAAUACUAUUAUAAAUAUAAUAAAUAUUUUAUUGUAUUAAAUAUAAUUUUUAAAAUUUUAUAUUUUGGGUUGAGUUACUUAGUUUGGUAAGUUUUUUUUUUUUAGAUUUUGGGUAAUGGAUUUAAUUGUUGUUGAAUUAGUGAUUUAAUAUAAAUAUAAAUAUAAAUAUAAAUAUUAUUUAACAUAUAUAAUUAAUAUCAUAUUGUUAUAACAUAAUAUACUAGAGUCAAGCCGAGCUCAGACAAAAAAUUAUAUCCAAAGCCCGACCCAUAUAGAAAAUGGGUCAUAUACUGAUUCGAGAAAAAAAUUAAUAAUAUUUUAUUAAAAGAAAAAAAAUUUAAUAUAAAAAAUUCAUUGACGCCUGUCAGAUAGGCGCCAUUAAAAAGAAAAAAUUAAUAUAAAAAAUUCACUGGCACCUGUCAGAUAGACGCCAUUAAAAAGAAAAAAAUUAAUAUAAAAAAUUCAUUGGAGCCGAUUAGAUAGACGCCAUUAAAAAAAACAUAUCAUUUCAGUAAUUAAUCUAUCUGACAACCUAUUUUGGUAUUUAAUUUUUUUAAUAUAUUCUAGUAAAAAACCCUUGUUGUGUUUAGUUUAGUAUUUGGUGAGUUUAACAUAUAAGUUUAUAAAAAAAUUAAAAAUCAUUUCAUUAAAAGUUUAAUUAUAACUGACUCUUUUAAUUAUAUAGUUGCUUUAACUCUUUUGAUUUUUAUAUAAUGUAAUUUUAUUUGAUUUUUUAUUUAUUUUACAGUUUUUUUUUAUUUUUUGAAGCAAAUUAAAUGCAUUCAUUUUUUAAUUGUAGAUUUGCAGAAAAUGAGUUCUUUGAUUAAUAAUAAUCACAUAUCAAGUACUAUUAAUGAGAUGAUAAUAAAAUUUUUAUUUGAUACUCAUGUUAUUUGCUGAAUUAAAUUAUAUUGUAUUAACUCUUUUGCUAAUUUAAUAAUGUCAGGGUCCGUACCACGUGUUGUUGUCAAAAUUUCUAUUAAAUCUCAUUGGUACUUGUUUGCGACAUUCAAAUAUACAUCUCACGGUUGUUGUUAAAAUUUCUCCAUCGAAAUAAACGUAUACAAAAAAUAGAUUCUCCAUCUUCAAUACUAGAUCUAUUAAAAAAUUUCAAAAUUCUUAAAACAGUUUCAAAAUGCAAAAAAUUACAUAAAAUUUUUAAUGCAAAAUUUUUCAUUCAAAAACUAACAAAAUUAAUAACCUAACAAAAUAACUUUCAAAUAAUAAAAUUACUAACAAGACUCUACAUUCUAUUUAAAAAGAAAUAAACCAAAAUAUCUUAUCCUUCUUCUUGUUUUCCUUUCUUUUUUUUUCUUCUCCCUAUCUUCUUAUUUCCGUUCCUUUACUCAAAUUUAUGUCUGUGUUUUGGGUAUAUAUAGGAAAAAAAAUAACCAGCUGUGGGCCCCACCAUUAGCGCCUCUCAACAUGGCACAACUAGUGGCACCUGUUAGAUAGGCUCCACUAUUGGUGCCUCUGAGAUAGGCGCAACUACUUUGUAUCCAUACUAGACCUGUCCAUGGGUCGGGCGGCCCGGCCCGACGGCCCGCCCGAAAUAUGGGAGGGUUCGGGUAAAAAUAUAAGCCCGAAAUAUGGGCUUGGGCAAAAAAACGAGGCCCGUUUAAAAAAUGGACCGGGCUCGGGCUCAACUUUUUUGGCCCGGGCCCGGCUCGGCCCGGCCCGAAUAUAACAAAUAUAUUUUUUAUUUUUAUUUUUUAAUUUUAAAAUACUUUAAUUUUUUUUAUUUUUUUAUUUUUAAAAUAUUUUUUUUGUGUUUAUUAAAAGCCGGGCCGGGCCAGGCCGGGCUUAUUAUUUUUUCCCAGGUCGAGCCUGGGCAAAAUUUUAUGCCCAUAUUUCGGGCCGGGCCCGAGCCUAAGAGUCGGGCCGAAAUUUUUUUCCGGGCCCGGCCCGAACCCGGCCCGACCCAUGUACAAGUCUAAUCCAUACGGGUUAUAUAUUGACCCGAGAAAAAAAUUAAUGAUAUUUUAUUAAAAAAUUAAUAUAAAAUAUUGAUUAGAGCCUAUCAAAUAGGCGCCAUUAAAAGAAAAUUAAUAUAAAAUAUUCAUUAGUGUCUCUCGAAUAUGCGCCAUUAAGAAAAACAUACCAUUUUUAUAAUUAAUCUAUUGACAACCUAUUUAAAUAUAUAUAUAUUUUAACUUAUAUCAAGGCAACUAAACGCGAGGAUGUCUGAUUUUGUCGUAAAAAGAAAGGAACAGUUUGCUCGUUUCUACGUAGGAUCGCUCACAAAGCUUCUUGGAGAAGAAUUGACUUGAAAUAAUCCAGUGUGCUCACGCUCAUUUUAACCGGCUGUUCGAUUAUACGAGAUUCCUUCUCAGGAACAGUUUGCUCGUUUCUACGUAGGAUCGCUCACAAAGCUUCUUGGAGAAGAAUUGACUUGAAAUAGUCCAGUGUGCUUCUAUUAUAAAAUGGGCUCAUUCAUUCCUAGUCUCUCUCUAUACUCAAGAGUGUCGUUUGUUUCAUUUUUUUUCCUUCUGUUUUGGAGUUUUUGAAAUUUUCAUCUGUUUGCUUAGUUUCCCAAAUUUCAGCCAAUGUCUGGUCGAGGCGGUGGUGGACGUGGCAGUGGUCGGGGAGGAUGUCGACGUGGCCGGGGGCAGGACCAUGGUCGCGGUCAUCCUUCACAGUCUUAAACUUAUAACCCCCCUACUCCUCAGAUGGCUCCGGCUCAGCCACCUCCUCAAAUGGCUGUAGCUCCGCCAGUUCCUCCAUCGGGGGCCGCUUUUUCUCAUUCUUCUUCAAGUUCUGGUGUAGGAUCACUUUCCAGAGAGGUAUCGG
Molecule: long non-coding RNA, 43222 nt
Filed under: Gossypium barbadense (sea-island cotton)
Lineage: Eukaryota; Viridiplantae; Streptophyta; Magnoliopsida; Malvales; Malvaceae
Description: long non-coding RNA (GBAR_LNC019298)
Source: RNAcentral